UACGUAGGGGGCAAGCGUUGUCCGGAUUUAUUGGGCGUAAAGAGCGUGUAGGCGGUCCGAUAAGUCGGAUGUGAAAGCCCUGGGCUCAACCUAGGAAGUGCAUUCGAAACUGUCGGACUUGAGUACGGGAGAGGGUUGCGGAAUUCCCGGUGUAGAGGUGAAAUUCGUAGAUAUCGGGAGGAACACCAGUGGCGAAGGCGGCUCACUGGCCCGGUACUGACGCUGAGGCGCGAAAGCGUGGGGAGCAAACAGG
Molecule: ribosomal RNA, 253 nt
Filed under: uncultured bacterium
Lineage: Bacteria
Description: partial 16S ribosomal RNA
Rfam family: Bacterial small subunit ribosomal RNA
Source: RNAcentral